This 451-nucleotide ribosomal RNA is filed under the name uncultured bacterium. RNAcentral's name for it is "bacterial SSU rRNA". It matches the Rfam family "Bacterial small subunit ribosomal RNA", at positions 32 to 524 of the family's 1533-position model. The record is from RNAcentral.
AAUCAACGCUGGCGGCGUGCCUAACACAUGCAAGUCGAACGCCCUAGCAAUAGGGAGUGGCAGACGGGUGAGUAACACGUGGGAACGUGCCUUUCGGUUCGGAAUAACCCAGGGAAACUUGGACUAAUACCGGAUACGUGCGAGAGCAGAAAGAUUUAUCGCCGAAAGAUCGGCCCGCGUCCGAUUAGUUAGUUGGUGAGGUAAUGGCUCACCAAGGCGACGAUCGGUAGCUGGUCUGAGAGGAUGAUCAGCCACACUGGGACUGAGACACGGCCCAGACUCCUACGGGAGGCAGCAGUGGGGAAUAUUGGACAAUGGGCGCAAGCCUGAUCCAGCCAUGCCGCGUGAGUGAUGAAGGCCCUAGGGUUGUAAAGCUCUUUCGCCAGGGACGAUAAUGGACGGUACCUGGAUAAGAAGCCCCGGCUAACUUCGUGCCAGCCGCCGCGGUAAC